UACGUAGGGUGCAAGCGUUAAUCGGAAUUACUGGGCGUAAAGCGUGCGCAGGCGGUUUUGUAAGUUUGUCGUGAAAUCCCCCGGGCUCAACCUGGGAAUGGCGAUGAAGACUGCAAGGCUAGAAUCUGGCAGAGGGGGGUAGAAUUCCACGUGUAGCAGUGAAAUGCGUAGAGAUGUGGAGGAACACCGGUGGCGAAGGCGGUUCUCUGGGCCUUACCUGACGCUGAGGAGCGAAAGCAUGGGGAGCAAACAGG
RNAcentral lists this ribosomal RNA (254 nucleotides) under uncultured bacterium. Its description in RNAcentral is "partial 16S ribosomal RNA". It matches the Rfam family "Bacterial small subunit ribosomal RNA", at positions 524 to 776 of the family's 1533-position model. The record is from RNAcentral.